RNAcentral lists this ribosomal RNA (450 nucleotides) under uncultured bacterium. Its description in RNAcentral is "bacterial SSU rRNA". It matches the Rfam family "Bacterial small subunit ribosomal RNA", at positions 29 to 524 of the family's 1533-position model. The record is from RNAcentral.
AACGAACGCUGGCGGCAUGCCUAACACAUGCAAGUCGAACGAGACCUUCGGGUCUAGUGGCGCACGGGUGCGUAACGCGUGGGAACCUGCCUUUAGGUUCGGAAUAACUCAGAGAAAUUUGAGCUAAUACCGGAUAAUGUCUUCGGACCAAAGAUUUAUCGCCUUUAGAUGGGCCCGCGUAAGAUUAGCUAGUUGGUGGGGUAAAGGCCUACCAAGGCGACGAUCUUUAGCUGGUCUGAGAGGAUGAUCAGCCACACUGGGACUGAGACACGGCCCAGACUCCUACGGGAGGCAGCAGUGGGGAAUAUUGGACAAUGGGCGAAAGCCUGAUCCAGCAAUGCCGCGUGAGUGAUGAAGGCCUUAGGGUUGUAAAGCUCUUUUACCCGAGAUGAUAAUGACAGUAUCGGGAGAAUAAGCUCCGGCUAACUCCGUGCCAGCAGCCGCGGUAAU